RNAcentral lists this long non-coding RNA (908 nucleotides) under Apteryx rowi (Okarito brown kiwi). Its description in RNAcentral is "lncRNA (ENSARWG00000006299.1)". Lineage: Eukaryota; Metazoa; Chordata; Aves; Apterygiformes; Apterygidae. The record is from RNAcentral.
GGCCUUUCUAAAGGACGUCUCAGGAGGAUCUCCUCUUCGGCACCUGUAGGCAUCUCUUCUUCUAAGCAAGGGUCUUGUCAGUGCUCCCAUGCAAACAGAAGCCUUGCUGCAAAUUUGCCCUUUAAUUUCAUCAAAGUAAACUGGAUUGUCUUAUUGGAGAUGGCAGAACUACUCCAAAUUUACUCUCUGGAUAACUGACAACAGAACAUCCCCCUUCAUUCACUGUUUAAAAAUUAGUCAUCGUGUAAUGCUGCGAUAGAUGCAAUAGAAAAAAUUUUGAGCAUCUGCUGGGGAGGAAACCUUGGAAGAAAGCCAAAAAACUGCAGUAAGAGGUGUCAUCAGUAUUCUUUUCAAGCCGGAACUGGACCAGUGACCCAAUUGCAUGCUACUUACCCCACAUCCUGGGAUACAUCCUGGGAAUGUGACACUGCAGAGCUCAGAAGUCCUAUGAGUGGACUACAGCACAUUAGGCAAAAUUAAGCAGGUAAGUAAAAAGCAGGGGGGCCACUUUCUUAAAUUGCUCUAUCUGAUUAAGGAACAGCCAAGAAACCCUUAACUUGAGCACCCCUCUUGAGAACCCAUUUUCAUGAGCAAAAGCCUCCUAACUUCCCUACCAAAAAAAUCUUCCUUUCAUGAGAUAAUAGAGAACAGCCUUGCAUACAGACGGCCCACACACUGGUGGUGGAGGUAAUUGAUGUAAAUGGCUCCAGGGCACUUUGCAGAGGAUCUCCUGAGGCUCUUCACCAUUCUCAUCAUCCAUGCUGCGUCUGAACUUGGUUAAAGAAAUACCUUCAUAAAACUUUGCCUAAGAAGCAGAGUCAAAAUGAGGUUGAGAAGCCUACACCAAACUCCRAUGCAUAAUAUUUGGAAACUGAAGGUAGGUGAUAUUACUGUUAGUCUCUUAAACA